This is a long non-coding RNA of Maniola jurtina (meadow brown), 520 nucleotides long. RefSeq lists it as uncharacterized. Lineage: Eukaryota; Metazoa; Arthropoda; Insecta; Lepidoptera; Nymphalidae. The record is from RefSeq and is a predicted model, not a curated record. The transcript is spliced from 4 exons.
CUGUCGUGAACUAUAGGUAUAAAAAUAAUUACGAGACGCAUUAAACAUGAAUAAAUUUUAAAGACAAAUCGGAAAAUUCCACCAAACAGCAUAAUUAUUAUAAAUUACAGAGUCAACUAAAACGUGUUCUACGAGUACGUGACAUAGAUAAUAUUUUUAUGACACAGCAUUUUGCUAACCCAAAAAUAGUUCACUUCUUUGACCUUUUGAGUUCUACCUUUGGACGCCACUCUCAAUUGAUUAAAAAACUACAUAUUUGAUUUUAUGAUGAGUAUUUCCAAUCAGGUUUGUAAUACCCUCUUUAUAUUUCCUCUGGAUAAUUAAUUACCUAGGUAUACUAGUCUGUUCUUCGCAGACCUGGUGUAUUAUUGCACCUAAUUGAUAUAAAACAUCUAUUAGUAUUAAUUAGUUAGAUAACUACAUACCAGUGUCUCUCCCUCGCAGACUUGAUGCAGAUUCUCCGGUUUGACCAGCAGAAGGUUGCACAGUGCGUGCAAGGUGUCAAACAAGGCGUGCGCAG